Molecule: long non-coding RNA, 965 nt
Organism: Prionailurus viverrinus (fishing cat)
Lineage: Eukaryota; Metazoa; Chordata; Mammalia; Carnivora; Felidae
Exons: 3
Source: RefSeq, a predicted model, not a curated record
AUCCUUGCCACCUGCUUUGGGAUUCUCCUUGCCUGGUUCAUUCUGAAAUGAGGUGGCUGGAAGCCUUACAUCAAGAGGAAUGGGGCCACCGUGACCAGAGUGCCCACCUUUGAACUGCAGGCAACAACGUGAACCUCUUUCCAGCAUGAAAUGUUCUAUGAAGACCUUUGUAUGGAAGACCUGGCUUCAUUGACCAGGCACCCACUGAGGGACAUUCGAGUUACAUCCAGUUUGAGAUGGAGAAACAUGGGGCAGAGACGUGACACAGCCCGUAAGGAGAAAGCCGGGAUUGAUCUCCCAUCUGUUUGACUCAGGACUUUUUCAUUUAGAAUAGGAAAUAUUAAUAUUAAAAUUGUUAUAUUAAAUAGUAAAGCUGGAGAACGCUCCAGAUCCCCUAAGCCAAUCCCCUCGCCUGACAAGGCCCAGAGUGGAAGGGACUUGCCCAAGGACAUACAGCAGGAUGGUGACAGAGCAGAGCCGGGGCUCCAGGCUCCUGAUGGCCACUCAGGAGCCAGAUGCCCGGUGCCCAGGGGUAAGGAGGCCUCUCCCAUUGGGAGGAGCCGGGGAGCUUAUGGGGGUGUGAGCAUCUCUGCAGCCCCGACCCAGGCCAGGUGCCAGGAGAAGCCACUGUUGUCACCGGCCACUGCAAUUACUCCUUUUGUCCAUAAUUCUACGUGUGGGUCUGCUCCCAACUCCUGCCUGGAUUUUCCUCCCUGCAGCUGCCCUCAGUGCCAAGGAAGGGUGACCAAAAGUGUCUGCUCUGGCUGCUGAGUCAACCUGUUCUGCAUUUCAGGCCCUGAACUACCCCUGCCCCUGCCCACCCCCACCCCCCAGCCCCCCAGCGGCUCACGCCUUCCCGGUCUUGUUUUCAGGCUAGUUUUUUGUAAGGAUAUGUUUUAUUUAACCCAACACAUGUAAAAAAAAAAAGUGUGAUUUCAACAUACAGCCAAUACAAAUAAAGUGUU